RNAcentral lists this ribosomal RNA (440 nucleotides) under uncultured bacterium. RNAcentral describes it as "partial 16S ribosomal RNA". It matches the Rfam family "Bacterial small subunit ribosomal RNA", at positions 338 to 795 of the family's 1533-position model. The record is from RNAcentral.
CCUACGGGUGGCAGCAGUGGGGAAUAUUGCUCAAUGGGGGAAACCCUGAUGCAGCGACGCCGCGUGAAGGACGAAGUAUUUCGGUACGUAAACUUCUAUCAGCAGGGAAGAAAAUGACGGUACCUGACCAAGAAGCCCCGGCUAACUACGUUCCAGCAGCCGCGGUAAUACGUAGGGAGCAAGCGUUAUCCGGAUUUACUGGGUUGAAAGGGAGCGUAGACGGCCAGGCAAGUCUGAUGUGAAAACCCGGGGCUCAACCGCGGGACUGCAUUGGAAACUGUGCGGCUGGAGUGCCGGAGAGGCAAGUGGAAUUCGUAGUGUAGCGGUGAAAUGCGUAGAUAUUACGAGGAACACCAGUGGCGAAGGCGGCUUGCUGGACGACGACUGACGUUGAGGCUCGAAAGUGUGGGGAGCAAACAGGAUUAGAUACCCUAGUAGUC